RNAcentral lists this ribosomal RNA (253 nucleotides) under uncultured bacterium. RNAcentral's name for it is "partial 16S ribosomal RNA". It matches the Rfam family "Bacterial small subunit ribosomal RNA", at positions 524 to 776 of the family's 1533-position model. The record is from RNAcentral.
UACGUAGGGGGCAAGCGUUGUCCGGAUUUAUUGGGCGUAAAGAGCGUGUAGGCGGCCAGACAGGUCCGUUGUGAAAACUCGAGGCUCAACCUCGAGACGCCGAUGGAAACCGUUUGGCUAGAGUCCGGAAGAGGAGAAUGGAAUUCCCGGUGUAGCGGUGAAAUGCGCAGAUAUCGGGAAGAACACCCGUGGCGAAGGCGGUUCUCUGGGACGGUACUGACGCUGAGACGCGAAAGCGUGGGGAGCGAACAGG